RNAcentral lists this ribosomal RNA (443 nucleotides) under uncultured bacterium. RNAcentral describes it as "partial 16S ribosomal RNA". It matches the Rfam family "Bacterial small subunit ribosomal RNA", at positions 338 to 795 of the family's 1533-position model. The record is from RNAcentral.
CCUACGGGAGGCAGCAGUGGGGAAUAUUGGGCAAUGGGCGCAAGCCUGACCCAGCAACGCCGCGUGAAGGAAGAAGGCUUUCGGGUUGUAAACUUCUUUUGUCAGGGACGAAGCAAGUGACGGUACCUGACGAAUAAGCCACGGCUAACUACGUGCCAGCAGCCGCGGUAAUACGUAGGUGGCAAGCGUUAUCCGGAUUUACUGGGUGUAAAGGGCGUGUAGGCGGGACUGCAAGUCAGAUGUGAAAUCCACGGGCUCAACCUGUGGCCUGCAUUUGAAACUGUAGUUCUUGAGUACUGGAGAGGCAGACGGAAUUCCUAGUGGAGCGGUGAAAGGCGUAGAUAUUAGGAGGAACCCCAGUGGCGAAGGCGGUCUGCUGGACAGCAACUGACGCUGAGGCGCGAAAGCGGGGGGAGCAAACAGGAUUAGAUACCCCGGUAGUC